AAGCAGGAACCAUGCGGGUUGCCGCCGGUUAACCCCGCCAGGUCUGGAAGGAAGCAACGGUACCCGGAGGGCGCCGCGCCGUGGCAGCCCUGCUUCGG
RNAcentral lists this signal recognition particle RNA (98 nucleotides) under Spirochaetaceae bacterium. RNAcentral's name for it is "signal recognition particle sRNA small type". It matches the Rfam family "Bacterial small signal recognition particle RNA". Rfam says of the family: The signal recognition particle (SRP) is a universally conserved ribonucleoprotein involved in the co-translational targeting of proteins to membranes. Archaeal SRP consists of a 7S RNA and homologues of the eukaryotic SRP19 and SRP54 proteins. The record is from RNAcentral. Lineage: Bacteria; Pseudomonadati; Spirochaetota; Spirochaetia; Spirochaetales; Spirochaetaceae.